GGAGGUCAUUUUGCAGGACCCUGGCAGUGUUCCUCCUUGCACAAAGAGGUAGUGGUCCUGCUGCUGGGUUGUUGCCCUCUUAUGGCCUCCUCCACGUCUCCUGAUGUACUGACCUGUCUCCUGGUAGCGCCUCCAUGCUCUUGACACUAUGCUGACCGACACAGAAAACCGUCUUCCCACAGCUCGCAUUGAUGUGCCAUCCUGGAUGAGCUGCACUACCUGAGCCACUUGUGUGGGUUGUAGACUCCGUCUCCUGCUACCACUAAAGUGAAAUCACCGCCAGCAUUCAAAAGUGACCAAAACAUCAGCCAGGAAGCAUAGGAACUGAGAAGUUGUCUGUGGUCACCACCUGCAGAACCACUCCUUUAUUGGGGGUGUCUUGCUAAUUGCCUAUAAUUUCCACCUGUUGUCUAUCCCAUUUCCACCUGUUGUCUAUCCCAUUUCC
Pelobates cultripes (western spadefoot toad) is the source of this 445-nucleotide non-coding RNA. The record is from the annotation of a GenBank genome assembly. NCBI's taxonomy places the organism in Eukaryota, Metazoa, Chordata, Amphibia, Anura, Pelobatidae.